Molecule: ribosomal RNA, 558 nt
Filed under: uncultured archaeon
Lineage: Archaea
Description: bacterial SSU rRNA
Rfam family: Archaeal small subunit ribosomal RNA
Source: RNAcentral
GGUACGGGUUGUGAGAGCAAGAGCCCGGAGAUGGAUUCUGAGACACGAAUCCAGGCCCUACGGGGUGCAGCAGGCGCGAAAACUUUACAAUGCUGGCAACAGCGAUAAGGGAACCUCGAGUGCCAGGUUACAAAUCUGGCUGUCGAGAUGCCUAAAAAGCAUUUCAUAGCAAGGGCCGGGCAAGACCGGUGCCAGCCGCCGCGGUAACACCGGCGGCUCGAGUGGUAACCGUUAUUAUUGGGUCUAAAGGGUCUGUAGCCGGCCGGAUAAGUCUCUUGAGAAAUCUGGCAGCUUAACUGUCAGGCUUUCAGGAGAUACUGUCUGGCUCGAGGCCGGGAGAGGUGAGAGGUACUUCAGGGGUAGGGGUGAAAUCUUGUAAUCCUUGAAGGACCACCAGUGGCGAAGGCGUCUCACCAGAACGGACCUGACGGCAAGGGACGAAAGCUAGGGGCACGAACCGGAUUAGAUACCCGGGUAGUCCUAGCCGUAAACGAUACUCGCUAGGUGUCGGCCACGGUGCGACCGUUGUCGGUGCCGUAGGGAAGCCGUGAAGCGAGC